Molecule: ribosomal RNA, 253 nt
Filed under: uncultured bacterium
Lineage: Bacteria
Description: partial 16S ribosomal RNA
Rfam family: Bacterial small subunit ribosomal RNA
Source: RNAcentral
UACAGAGGUGGCAAGCGUUGUUCGGAAUUACUGGGCGUAAAGGGCGCGUAGGCGGCCCACUAAGUCAGACGUGAAAUCCCCCGGCUUAACCUGGGAACUGCGUCUGAUACUGGAGGGCUUGAGUAUGGGAGAGGGAUGUAGAAUUCCAGGUGUAGCGGUGAAAUGCGUAGAUAUCUGGAGGAAUACCGGUGGCGAAGGCGGCAUCCUGGACCAUUACUGACGCUGAGACGCGAAAGCUAGGGGAGCAAACGGG